GUACACAGAACACGGACAGCAGAAGCUGAUGGAGAGGAUGAUGGAAGACCACAACCAGCCAGCAACUCAGGUCCAAACAGUCAUUUACAACCAGAUACCAGUGGCAGGAGUUCAGACAGUUCUGAAACUGAGACCGAUGACAGCGAGGACUGGAAAGAGACCGCAAAACUUCAGUCACGUUUUAACUGUCGAAAAAAUACCAAUAUUGUUCAUUCAGGCAACACUGAUGAAAAACAAUUUAAAGGCUCUAAAUAUGGAAAAGCAUCUGGUCACAUGAACGACUCAGCGCAGCAAAAGGGGAGGGAAGCAAGUGGAAAACCAUUUAGCUGUUCUGAUGGGAAUAAAGGACAGAAACAGAAGGGCACUCUGAACAAACACAUUAGAAUUCAGACUGGACAAAAAACAUUUGUCUGUUCUGAGUGUGGUCAAAGGUUUGGACGAAAGGGCCACCUGAGCACACACAUGAUAAUUCAUACGGGACAAAAAGCAUUUGUCUGUUCUGAGUGUGGUCAAAGAUUUGGACUUAAGAGCUACCUGAACAGACACAUGAUAAUUCAUACAGGACAAAAAGCGUUUGUCUGUUCUGAGUGUGGUCAAAGAUUUGGACAAAAGGGCCACCUGAAAACACACAUGAUAAUUCAUACAGGACA
Molecule: long non-coding RNA, 650 nt
Organism: Thalassophryne amazonica
Lineage: Eukaryota; Metazoa; Chordata; Actinopteri; Batrachoidiformes; Batrachoididae
Exons: 2
Source: RefSeq, a predicted model, not a curated record